Homo sapiens (human) is the source of this 547-nucleotide long non-coding RNA. RefSeq lists it as uncharacterized. NCBI's taxonomy places the organism in Eukaryota, Metazoa, Chordata, Mammalia, Primates, Hominidae. The record is from RefSeq and is a predicted model, not a curated record. The transcript has 3 exons.
GUGAUCUGCCUGCCUUGGCCUCCCAACGUGCUGGGAUUACAGGAUGCACCACCGUGCCCAGACUAGGGCAAUGAUUUCAUAGAAGGGGGCUCUGGGCGGCACAUCACAGUGUUCACCACAAGCACUGGGGUGGGGACUCUGGUUCCCAACAGCAAGGGACUCUUUAAAUUUAUGCCCUGGGUAUCUCUUUUGCCUCACCUUAGUCUCAGACCUGACCAGCACCUUCCCCAUUACAGAACAAAAACAACAAAAUGUAAAUGUAUCAACCUUACAGGUUUGAUGUGAUGAGACUCUAUACAAAAUACCCCACACAUGGUAGAUUCUCAAUAACUGAGCGCUGCCAUCACUAUCAUAAUUGUCAUUGUCAUCAUCAUCGUCAUUGUCAUCAUCAUUAUCAUCAUCGUCAUUGUCAUCAUCAUCGUCAUCACUCCAGAUGUGCUGAACCUAACUAAAGCACCUUCAGGAAAUCCUUCACAUCUCCCACUCAUUUUAGAGCCUGUUUGGGAAAAAAAGAAAGAGAAGAGGAUAUGCCUCAUGCCCAGAGAAG